GCCGGUGCUUGCAGAAGGCUGUUCUAGCCUCAGGGAUUCUCACACAUACUUCUGUUGACAGAGUUCCUGUGUAGCAAGCAAUCUGAAAUGCCUUUUGUUAAAGAUCUAUUCAUGUCCCCUUUCCGUUCUGCCCCAACACUUGGAAGAUCAUUCAGCUCCUCAGCCCUGCUACUGCACUCAUGGAAAAACUGUAUUUGGGGUUGUCUAGAGAACAGAACAGAAACACUAGUGAUUUAAGGUUCAGUUGGAUGGAAGCCAAAAGAAUGUGCCUUUGAAAGAAGACACAUGUUGAUACGAAUUCACUAUGACAACUCUGGAGUUUGCUAAUGACUUGCCUUGAGUCAGCCUGGACAGCCACAUGGAGGAAGGAAUUCACCUUUGGAACAAAGGCGUCUUAGACAAUGGUCCACAAUUCUCAAAAUACUUAAAAGGAUGUAGGUCCCAAUAAAAAAUGGAAGAUUGCAUUGAAUUAUAAUCCACAUGACAUUUAGAAAUAAAAUCAAUUUCACCUUUGUCUGAUGGUGCUGGAAUGGAAGCUCAGCACUCUGGACUGGAGACGGUAUUACCUUAUUCUCUGCUCAUAAAAACCAGCAAGUCACUUGAAACUUCGAAGUGUGAAAUAAAGAGGAAAAUUCAUUGCUGCAUUGUGGAAACUUGUUCACGUCCUUCAUUUGCAUAUAAUUUGACAUCCAGUAAAACAUCCCUGGAAUUUACUAGUUAUUGCCCUACUGUAUGCUGUUGAAGAGCCUGAGAAAAAGAAGCUGGAUGGAGACUUAUUCUAUUCCUCAGAUUAAAAUGCAUCAAGUGGUCCGGGAAAACACAGUUCCCCAUUUUUUUGUUAACCUGAAUGCAGAUGAAAAACCAGACACAACUCAUGGAAACACUCACUUAAAAUUUAAGCUAAAUAUUAACACUUUUUCAAAUUUAAGGCACUCACUAUUCAGGAAUAACUCUGAAUUCCAGAGCAUUCAUAUGGCAAACACAGAAACCUCUUCAUCAGAAGAUCAAGAGGAAGAUGAUAAUAUUUUUACAGUUUUACCUAUGAACGGAACUGUCUGGGACAGUUUUCAGAAAAUUUACAUUUCUCAUGGCUACAUCAAUAAAAACGUCACCUUACCUACUGCUGAUGGCAGUCUCCCCAGUGAGGAGAAACUAAAUGAGCAAAGAUUACAUCUACAGAAGGGCAAGACUAUAAUCUUGUGAGACUCUUGAGGCUGAACAGAAGUUCCCACAUGCUCUUCUCUGGCUGCAGUCCUGCAGGCAAGAUGAAACCACAGAAGGACAACGUUUACAGUUAUUAACUCUUAUUUAAAACUUGUAUAUACCACUUCUUGUCCAGAUCUCAAAGCAGUUAUAACUUCAAAAACUAGGCUAAAACCAUUAAAAACAAUAUACAUCGUUC
This 1402-nucleotide long non-coding RNA is filed under the name Salvator merianae (Argentine black and white tegu). RNAcentral's name for it is "lncRNA (ENSSMRG00000013083.1)". Lineage: Eukaryota; Metazoa; Chordata; Lepidosauria; Squamata; Teiidae. The record is from RNAcentral.